This 381-nucleotide unclassified non-coding RNA is filed under the name soil metagenome. Its description in RNAcentral is "partial contains 5.8S ribosomal RNA, internal transcribed spacer 2, and large subunit ribosomal RNA". The stretch from base 1 to 120 matches the Rfam family "5.8S ribosomal RNA", at positions 35 to 154 of the family's 154-position model. The record is from RNAcentral.
GAUGAAGAACGUAGUGAAAUGCGAUACGUAAUGUGAAUUGCAGAAUUCAGUGAAUCAUCGAAUCUUUGAACGCACAUUGCACUCCUUGGUAUUCCGAGGAGUAUGCCUGUUUCAGUAUCAUGAGCACUCUCACACCUAACCUUUGGGUUUAUGGCGUGAAAUUGGAAUGCGCCGACUGUCAUGGUUGGCCCUUCUAAAAUGUAGUUCUUGGCUGUCACCUAAUACAGCAGUUUGGCCUAAUAGUUUUGGCAUUCAUUGUCAAAUCUUUGGCUAACAUUUGCUCCAGGAGUCAGUCUUGAUAAUACAGAAAACUCAUUCAAAUUUUGAUCUGAAAUCAGGUAGGGCUACCCGCUGAACUUAAGCAUAUCAAUAAGCGGAGGA